This 735-nucleotide ribosomal RNA is filed under the name Imogine cf. pardalotus DM-2017. Its description in RNAcentral is "partial large subunit ribosomal RNA". The stretch from base 341 to 501 matches the Rfam family "Bacterial large subunit ribosomal RNA", at positions 1791 to 2013 of the family's 2925-position model. Lineage: Eukaryota; Metazoa; Platyhelminthes; Polycladida; Stylochidae. The record is from RNAcentral.
CGAAAUCUUAUGAUUAUAUAUUUUAUAGUUUUGAACUUUAAAUUAUUGAGAGGACCUCUUAAUUAAAUAAAAUUUAAGUAUAGAAAUUAUAGAUCGGAAAAGAUUAUAUCUGAUUUGUGAAGAAAUUUACCAAAAUACAUUUAAAGGUUAAUUUUUUAAAUGCAUGAAAAGAAAAAAAGAUAAUUUUUCAAAAUAGUGACUAAGAUGAGAAGUGUCUAAGAAUAAAUAGUGUUAAAACUUUAUUUUAAUAAUCAUUUUCUUUCUAGGGUAUUCAUUCAAGAUAAUUUUUCCAAAUAUUGAUAGAAUAAGUAUAUUUUAUUAAAUCCACAUGAACUCGAUACUUUUACAACUGUUUAUCAAAAACAUCUCCUUUAGUAUAUAUUUAAAGGUAUGACCUGCUCCAUGUGAAUUAUAAAUAGCUGCGGUAUCUUAACUGCACUAAGGUAGCAUAAUUAAUUGUCUUUUAAAUGGUGACUUGUUUGAAUGGUUUUAUGAGAAAAGAAUUUUUAUUUGGUUUUAAUGGAAAUUAUAUAUUAAGGUAAAAAUACCUAAAAUAUAAAGAAAGACGAGAAGACCCUGUUGAGUUUUACAAUUAAAUUUGUUUGAAUGGGAAAUUUAAUUUUUUUAUAAAAUUUCUUUGAUCCUACAAGAUGUUGGAAAUAGGAUAAAAUUACCACAGGGAUAACAGGAUUAUAUUUUCUGAGAGUUCGAAUCGAAGAAAAUGAUUAUUACCUC